Long non-coding RNA from Esox lucius (northern pike), 932 nucleotides. RefSeq lists it as uncharacterized. The record is from RefSeq and is a predicted model, not a curated record. The transcript is spliced from 2 exons. NCBI's taxonomy places the organism in Eukaryota, Metazoa, Chordata, Actinopteri, Esociformes, Esocidae.
GGCACUGUUCAUACUCUAACUCACACAAACCCGCUCUGCGGACCAGCUACAGCUCAUUGAGAGUGGAUAAAUGCUCGCACUGAAGUAAGCAGCGAUCCACAGGGAUCUGUAUUUUCUCUGUCAGGCUAAAAACUACGAAUCAUCACAGUAUGAAGCAUAGACGGUUGCUUUGCCUUCAGCCUCUCCUGCCCACCAUCACAGAGACCUUGGAAGACUCCACUACAGCCCACCCGGUACACACAGCCCAGUCCCAGCCUCUAACUCAGGGCUCCCAGUCCCUAGAGGAGUACAUGGCCAGUAUCCAGGCUCUGGCCAGACCAGUGUUACCUCCUAGCUGUGGCCCUGUGAGACUCCAGAGAGCGGCCAGGCCAAGGCUUAUCUCCAAGGCCCAGAUGAAGCACUCUGUGUCAGCCACGCUGCCCCGAGACUCCUGCCGGGCCAACUGGAAUAGAACCACCAGCCCCAUCACCAGUAAAAGCCAAAGCCCUGAGCACCUAUCGGGCACGCUGAUAAUGGAGAAGGAAUGUGCGGGGAGAGACCCCAUGGAAUGGCUGUAUGGACAAAGACACACACAAACUGAGACAAGAACACACACACCGAGCAGGACACGGACGCGGACACAUGCCCGUUUAAGGGAGAAUGUUCCAGCAGCUCUGUGGGUGUUCUAAAACUAAAUACAACACAUCAGGGAACACUUCAGCUGGCUUUGACCCAUGAUGUGUGGCUAUGUCCACCAAAUAGCCCACUGAUGGGUUCUAAAAUUGACGUGAUUGAGUUGGUCUGGCUGUGAAUAGAUGAUGCAAUACUAAUUUUGAAACGCUACAGUGGAUAUUUAUUUACUGGGAAUAACGUUUUACAGGAUUAAUGUUUACAAUACAUGGAGUGUAAUUUAAGAGAUUAUUUUAUUUUGUAAUAAAGUACUUUUGUAAGGA